Molecule: ribosomal RNA, 406 nt
Filed under: uncultured bacterium
Lineage: Bacteria
Description: bacterial SSU rRNA
Rfam family: Bacterial small subunit ribosomal RNA
Source: RNAcentral
GCAGGGAAUCUUGGGCAAUGGGCGAAAGCCUGACCCAGCGACACCGCGUGGAGGAUGAAUGCUUUCGGGUUGUAAACUCCUUUUCCGAGGGAAGAGAUAGGACGGUACCUCGGGAAUAAGCCCCGGCUAACUACGUGCCAGCAGCCGCGGUAACACGUAGGGGGCAAGCGUUACCCGGAUUUACUGGGCGUAAAGGGCGCGUAGGCGGUUCGGCAAGUCUCCUGUGAAAGCUCCCGGCUUAACUGGGAGAGGUCGGGGGAUACUACCGGGCUAGAGGGCAGCAGAGGAGAGUAGAAUUCCCGGUGUAGCGGUGAAAUGCGUAGAUAUCGGGAGGAAUACCAGUGGCGAAAGCGGCUCUCUGGGCUGUUCCUGACGCUGAGGCGCGAAAGCGUGGGUAGCAAACCGG